AAAGCGCGCGUAGGCGGUUAAACAAGUCAGAUGUGAAAGCCCCGGGCUCAACCUGGGAACUGCAUUUGAAACUGUUUAGCUAGAGUAUGGUAGAGGAGAGUGGAAUUUCAGGUGUAGCGGUGAAAUGCGUAGAUAUCUGAAGGAACACCAGUGGCGAAGGCGGCUCUCUGGACCAAUACUGACGCUGAGGUGCGAAAGCGUGGGUAGCAAACGGGAUUAGAUACCCCGGUAGUCCACGCCGUAAACGAUGUCAACUAACUGUUGGGCGGGUUUCCGCUUAGUGGUGCAGCUAACGCAAUAAGUUGACCGCCUGGGGAGUACGGCCGCAAGGCUAAAACUCAAAUGAAUUGACGGGGGCCCGCACAAGCGGUGGAGCAUGUGGUUUAAUUCGAUGCAACGCGAAGAACCUUACCUACCCUUGACAUACAGAGAACUUUCUAGAGAUAGAUUGGUGCCUUCGGGAACUCUGAUACAGGUGCUGCACGGCUGUCGUCGGCUCGUGUCGUGAGAUGUUGGGUUAAGUCCCGUAACGAGCGCAACCCUUAUCCUUAGUUGCUACCAUUUAGUUGGGCACUCUAAGGAGACUGCCGGUGAUAAACCGGAGGAAGGUGGGGACGACGUCAAGUCAUCAUGGCCCUUAUGGGUAGGGCUACACACGUGCUACAAUGGCCGGUACAGAGGGCCGCAAACUCGCGAGAGUAAGCUAAUCCCUUAAAGCCGGUCCUAGUCCGGAUUGCAGUNUGCAACUNGACUGCNUGAAGCUGGAAUCGCUAGUAAUCGCGGAUCAGAAUGCCGCGGUGAAUUNGUUCCCGGGCCUUGUACACACCGCCCGUCACACCAUGGGAGUGGGUUGCAAAAG
Molecule: ribosomal RNA, 859 nt
Filed under: uncultured Cycloclasticus sp.
Lineage: Bacteria; Pseudomonadati; Pseudomonadota; Gammaproteobacteria; Thiotrichales; Piscirickettsiaceae
Description: bacterial SSU rRNA
Rfam family: Bacterial small subunit ribosomal RNA
Source: RNAcentral